Molecule: ribosomal RNA, 482 nt
Filed under: uncultured bacterium
Lineage: Bacteria
Description: bacterial SSU rRNA
Rfam family: Bacterial small subunit ribosomal RNA
Source: RNAcentral
AGGACGACGGCUGGCGGCGUGCCUAACACAUGCAAGUCGAGCGGUUCAAUACGAGCAGAGAUUCGUCGAAGCUAGUAUUGGAUAGCGGCGGACGGGUGAGUAACACGUGGGCAACCUGCCUUCGACUGGGGGAUAACACCGGGAAACCGGUGCUAAAUACCGCAUAACAUGAGCGAGUAGCAUUACUUGCACAUCAAAGGAGGAAUCCGGUUGAAGAUGGGCCCGCGUCCGAUUAGCUAGUUGGUGAGGUAACGGCCCACCAAGGCGACGAUCGGUAGCCGAACUGAGAGGUUGAUCGGCCACAUUGGGACUGAGACACGGCCCAGACUCCUACGGGAGGCAGCAGUGGGGAAUAUUGCGCAAUGGGGGGAACCCUGACGCAGCAACGCCGCGUGAAGGAUGAAGGUUUUCGGAUUGUAAACUUCUUUGGCAGGGGACGAAAAAGGACGGUACCCUGAGAACAAGCCACGGCUAACUACGUG